UACAGAGGUCUCAAGCGUUGUUCGGAUUCAUUGGGCGUAAAGGGUGUGUAGGUGGCGCGCUAAGUCGGGUGUGAAAUCUCAGAGCUCAACUCUGAAAUGGCACUUGAUACUGCUCUGCUAGAGGACUGGAGAGGAGAUUGGAAUUCACGGUGUAGCAGUGAAAUGCGUAGAUAUCGUGAGGAAGACCGGUGGCGAAGGCGGAUCUCUGGACAGUUCCUGACGCUGAGGCGCGAAGGCCAGGGGAGCAAACGGG
RNAcentral lists this ribosomal RNA (253 nucleotides) under uncultured bacterium. Its description in RNAcentral is "partial 16S ribosomal RNA". It matches the Rfam family "Bacterial small subunit ribosomal RNA", at positions 524 to 776 of the family's 1533-position model. The record is from RNAcentral.